RNAcentral lists this ribosomal RNA (480 nucleotides) under Chrysoblephus anglicus (Englishman seabream). RNAcentral's name for it is "partial 12S ribosomal RNA". It matches the Rfam family "Bacterial small subunit ribosomal RNA", at positions 801 to 1505 of the family's 1533-position model. Lineage: Eukaryota; Metazoa; Chordata; Actinopteri; Spariformes; Sparidae. The record is from RNAcentral.
AAACAUUGACAGUUAAAUACAUUUUCUGUCCGCCCGGGUACUACGAGCAUUAGCUUAAAACCCAAAGGACUUGGCGGUGCUUUAGACCCACCUAGAGGAGCCUGUUCUAGAACCGAUAAUCCCCGUUCAACCUCACCCUUCCUUGCUCGUCCCGCCUAUAUACCACCGUCGCCAGCUUACCCUGUGAAGGGUAAAAAGUAAGCAAAAUUGGCACUGCCCAGAACGUCAGGUCGAGGUGUAGCGAAUGGAGGGGGAAGAAAUGGGCUACAUUCCCUCUAAAAUGCAGGGAAUUACGAAAGAUGAAUUGAAAAUAAUACAUCUGAAGGAGGAUUUAGCAGUAAGCGGAAAGUAGAGUGUUCCACUGAAACCGGCUCUUAAGCGCGCACACACCGCCCGUCACUCUCCCCGAAACUUUACCAAAACAUUAAUUAAAAUGCCAAAAUCAUAGAGGGGAGGCAAGUCGUAACAUGGUAAGUGUAC